RNAcentral lists this ribosomal RNA (119 nucleotides) under Salmo salar (Atlantic salmon). Lineage: Eukaryota; Metazoa; Chordata; Actinopteri; Salmoniformes; Salmonidae. The record is from RNAcentral.
GCUUACGGCCAUAUCAGCCUGGGUACUCCCGAUCUCGUCUGAUCUCGGAAGCUAAGCAGGGUCGGGCCUGGUUAGUACUUGGUUGGGAGACCGCCUGGGAAUACCAGGUGCUGUAAGCA